AACGAACGCUGGCGGCAUGCCUAACACAUGCAAGUCGAACGAUGCCUUCGGGCAUAGUGGCGCACGGGUGCGUAACGCGUGGGAAUCUGCCUUUCGGUUCGGAAUAACUCAGGGAAACUUGAGCUAAUAUCGGAUAACGUCGCAAGACCAAAGAUUUAUCACCGAAAGAUGAGCCCGCGUAGGAUUAGCUAGUUGGUGAGGUAAAGGCGCACCAAGGCGACGAUCCUUAGCUGGUCUGAGAGGAUGAGCAGCCACACUGGGACUGAGACGCGGCCCAGACUCCUGCGGGAGGCGGCAGUGGGGAAUACAGGACUAUGGGCGAAAGCCUGAUCCAGCUAUGCCGCGUGAGUGAUGAAGGCCUUAGGGAUGUAAAGCUCUUUUACCCGGGAAGAUAAUGACGGUACCGGGAGAAUAAGCCCCGGCUAACUCCGUG
RNAcentral lists this ribosomal RNA (433 nucleotides) under uncultured bacterium. RNAcentral's name for it is "partial 16S ribosomal RNA". It matches the Rfam family "Bacterial small subunit ribosomal RNA", at positions 29 to 507 of the family's 1533-position model. The record is from RNAcentral.